RNAcentral lists this ribosomal RNA (253 nucleotides) under uncultured bacterium. RNAcentral's name for it is "partial 16S ribosomal RNA". It matches the Rfam family "Bacterial small subunit ribosomal RNA", at positions 524 to 776 of the family's 1533-position model. The record is from RNAcentral.
UACGAAGGGUGCAAACGUUGCUCGGAAUCAUUGGGCGUAAAGCGCACGUAGGCGGCUUGCCAAGUCGGACGUGAAAUCCCUCAGCUCAACUGAGGACGUGCAUCCGAAACUGGCGAGCUUGAGUACCGAAGAGGAUCGCGGAAUUCCCGGUGUAGAGGUGAAAUUCGUAGAUAUCGGGAGGAACACCAGUGGCGAAGGCGGCGAUCUGGGCAGAUACUGACGCUGAGGUGCGAAAGCGUGGGGAGCAAACAGG